Non-coding RNA from Equus caballus (horse), 72 nucleotides. The record is from Rfam. Lineage: Eukaryota; Metazoa; Chordata; Mammalia; Perissodactyla; Equidae.
GGGGGUGUAGCUCAUGGGUAGAGCAUUGGACUGCAGAUCAAGAGGUCCCCGGCUCAAAUCUGAGCGCCCCCU